RNAcentral lists this small RNA (107 nucleotides) under Marmota monax (woodchuck). The record is from RNAcentral. Lineage: Eukaryota; Metazoa; Chordata; Mammalia; Rodentia; Sciuridae.
GCCAGGCGCGGUGGCACACACCUGUAAUCCCAGUGGCUCAGGAGGCUGAGGCAGGAAGAUCGCAAGUUCAAAGCCAGUCUCUGCAACUUAGCGAGAGCCUGUCUCGA